UACGUAGGGGGCGAGCGUUGUCCGGAAUUAUUGGGCGUAAAGAGCUCGUAGGCGGUCUGUCGCGUCGGCUGUGAAAUCCCGAGGCUCAACCUCGGGUCUGCAGUCGAUACGGGCAAACUAGAGUAUUGCAGGGGAGACUGGAAUUCCUGGUGUAGCGGUGAAAUGCGCAGAUAUCAGGAGGAACACCGGUGGCGAAGGCGGGUCUCUGGGCAAUAACUGACGCUGAGGAGCGAAAGCGUGGGGAGCGAACAGG
Molecule: ribosomal RNA, 253 nt
Filed under: uncultured bacterium
Lineage: Bacteria
Description: partial 16S ribosomal RNA
Rfam family: Bacterial small subunit ribosomal RNA
Source: RNAcentral